Unclassified non-coding RNA from Colobus angolensis palliatus, 88 nucleotides. It matches the Rfam family "Y RNA". From Rfam's summary of the family: Y RNAs are components of the Ro ribonucleoprotein particle (Ro RNP), in association with Ro60 and La proteins. The Y RNAs and Ro60 and La proteins are well conserved, but the function of the Ro RNP is not known. The record is from Ensembl. Lineage: Eukaryota; Metazoa; Chordata; Mammalia; Primates; Cercopithecidae.
GGCUGGUAGUGGGUUAUCAGAACUUAUGAUCAUUAGUGUCACUAAAGUUCGUAUACAACCCCCCACUGCUAAAUUUGACUGGCUUAAU